RNAcentral lists this ribosomal RNA (180 nucleotides) under Rhizophagus intraradices. Lineage: Eukaryota; Fungi; Glomeromycota; Glomeromycetes; Glomerales; Glomeraceae. The record is from RNAcentral.
CAGUCGUACCUGCGAAUAAUCAGCCUUUCGGGUGCGAUUCUGUGGGGCGUGAGGAGCUUAACCGCCUUCAUGUAUUGCAUAUUCGUGCACUAUUUGGUGUACUUGGUCCGUGUGGUGGGUUAACAUCAAUUUCGGUCGUCAUAAAAUGAUUGGAGGAUGUAGCUUGAUCUCGUAUCGUAA